This 471-nucleotide ribosomal RNA is filed under the name uncultured bacterium. RNAcentral's name for it is "bacterial SSU rRNA". It matches the Rfam family "Bacterial small subunit ribosomal RNA", at positions 28 to 507 of the family's 1533-position model. The record is from RNAcentral.
GACGAACGCUGGCGGCGUGCCUAACACAUGCAAGUCGAGCGGGGAGGAGGAAGCUUGCUUCCGAAUCCUAGCGGCGGACGGGUGAGUAACGCGUGAGCAACCUGCCUCUUACAGGGGGAUAACGCAUCGAAAGAUGUGCUAAUACCGCGUAAGACCACAGCAUCACAUGGUGCGGGGGUCAAAGGAGCAAUCCGGUAAGAGAUGGGCUCGCGUCCGAUUAGCUAGUUGGCGGGAUAACAGCCCACCAAGGCGACGAUCGGUAGCCGACCUGAGAGGGUGAUCGGCCACAUUGGAACUGAGAUACGGUCCAGACUCCUACGGGAGGCAGCAGUGGGGGAAUAUUGGGCAAUGGGCGAAAGCCUGACCCAGCAACGCCGCGUGAGGGAAGAAGGGUUUCGGCUCGUAAACCUCUGUCCUAUGGGACGAAGAAGUGACGGUACCAUAGGAGGAAAGCCCCGGGCUAACUACGUG